AACGAACGCUGGCGGCAUGCCUAACACAUGCAAGUCGAACGAGACCUUCGGGUCUAGUGGCGCACGGGUGCGUAACGCGUGGGAACCUGCCCUUAGGUUCGGAAUAACUCCCCGAAAGGGGUGCUAAUACCGGAUAAUGUCUUCGGACCAAAGAUUUAUCGCCUUUGGAUGGGCCCGCGUUGGAUUAGCUAGUUGGUAGGGUAAAAGCCUACCAAGGCGACGAUCCAUAGCUGGUCUGAGAGGAUGAUCAGCCACACUGGGACUGAGACACGGCCCAGACUCCUACGGGAGGAAGCAGUGGGGAAUAGUGGACAAUGGGCGAAAGCCUGAUCCAGCAAUGCCGCGUGAGUGAUGAAGGCCUUAGGGUUGUAAAGCGCUUUUACCCGGGAUGAUAAUGACAGUACCGGGAGAAUAAGCUCCGGCUAACUCCGUG
This 433-nucleotide ribosomal RNA is filed under the name uncultured bacterium. RNAcentral's name for it is "partial 16S ribosomal RNA". It matches the Rfam family "Bacterial small subunit ribosomal RNA", at positions 29 to 507 of the family's 1533-position model. The record is from RNAcentral.